RNAcentral lists this ribosomal RNA (468 nucleotides) under uncultured bacterium. RNAcentral's name for it is "partial 16S ribosomal RNA". It matches the Rfam family "Bacterial small subunit ribosomal RNA", at positions 28 to 523 of the family's 1533-position model. The record is from RNAcentral.
GAUGAACGCUGGCGGCGUGCCUAACACAUGCAAGUCGAGCGAUCUUCUUCGGAAGAGAGCGGCGGACGGGUGAGUAACGCGUGGGUAACCUGCCCUGUACACACGGAUAACAUACCGAAAGGUAUGCUAAUACGGGAUAAUAUGCUUUUAUCGCAUGGUAGAAGUAUCAAAGCUCCGGCGGUACAGGAUGGACCCGCGUCUGAUUAGCUAGUUGGUAAGGUAACGGCUUACCAAGGCGACGAUCAGUAGCCGACCUGAGAGGGUGAUCGGCCACAUUGGAACUGAGACACGGUCCAAACUCCUACGGGAGGCAGCAGUGGGGAAUAUUGCACAAUGGGCGAAAGCCUGAUGCAGCAACGCCGCGUGAGCGAUGAAGGCCUUCGGGUCGUAAAGCUCUGUCCUCAAGGAAGAUAAUGACGGUACUUGAGGAGGAAGCCCCGGCUAACUACGUGCCAGCAGCCGCGGUAA